CAGCAGCCGCGGUAAUACCGGCGGCCCGAGUGGCGGCCACUAUUAUUGGGCUUAAAGCGUCCGUAGCCGGGUUGGUUAGUCUCCCGGGAAAUCUGGCCGCUUAACGGUCAGAAUUCCGGGAGAUACUGCCAGCCUAGGGACCGGGAGAGGCCGAGGGGAUUCCCGGAGUAGGGGGGAAAUCCUAUAAUCCCGGGAGGACCACCUGUGGCGAAGGCGCUCGGCUGGAACGGGUCCGACGGUGAGGGACGAAGGCCAGGGGAGCAAACCGGAUUAGAUACCCGGGUAGUCCUGGCUGUAAACGAUGCGGACUUUGUGUCGGACAAGCUAUGAGCUUGUCCGGUGCCGGAGGGAAACCGUUAAGUCCGCCGCCUGGGGAGUACGGCCGCAAGGCUGAAACUUAAAGGAAUUGGCGGG
Molecule: ribosomal RNA, 414 nt
Filed under: uncultured microorganism
Description: bacterial SSU rRNA
Rfam family: Archaeal small subunit ribosomal RNA
Source: RNAcentral